Transfer RNA from Aspergillus wentii DTO 134E9, 125 nucleotides. It matches the Rfam family "tRNA". Rfam says of the family: Transfer RNA (tRNA) molecules are approximately 80 nucleotides in length. Their secondary structure includes four short double-helical elements and three loops (D, anti-codon, and T loops). The record is from Rfam. NCBI's taxonomy places the organism in Eukaryota, Fungi, Ascomycota, Eurotiomycetes, Eurotiales, Aspergillaceae.
GGCAAGAUGGCCGAGCGGUCCAAGGCGCCAGACUCAAGGAAGCCUACUAGGCAACCCUUCUCUUGCAUAGCAAAGAGAGUCUUCUGGUCUCGAAAGGGGCGCGAGUUCGAAUCUCGCUCUUGUCA